GCCCCUAUAGCUCAGUUGGCAGAGCAGCGGACUUUUAAUCCGCGGGUCGCGGGUUCGAGCCCCGCUGGGGGCACCA
Molecule: transfer RNA, 76 nt
Filed under: Propionibacteriaceae bacterium
Lineage: Bacteria; Bacillati; Actinomycetota; Actinomycetes; Propionibacteriales; Propionibacteriaceae
Description: tRNA-Lys
Rfam family: tRNA
About the family: Transfer RNA (tRNA) molecules are approximately 80 nucleotides in length.
Source: RNAcentral